UACGAAGGGGGCUAGCGUUGCUCGGAAUGACUGGGCGUAAAGGGCGCGUAGGCGGCUUGUAUAGUCGGAUGUGAAAUUCCUGGGCUUAACCUGGGGGCUGCAUACGAGACGUAUGGGCUUGAGUGCGGAAGAGGGUCGUGGAAUUCCCAGUGUAGAGGUGAAAUGCGUAGAUAUCUGGAGGAACACCGGUGGCGAAGGCGGCAUCCUGGACCGGUAUUGACGCUGAGGCGCGAAAGCCAGGGGAGCAAACGGG
Molecule: ribosomal RNA, 253 nt
Filed under: uncultured bacterium
Lineage: Bacteria
Description: partial 16S ribosomal RNA
Rfam family: Bacterial small subunit ribosomal RNA
Source: RNAcentral